GAAAUGCGAUAAGUAAUGUGAAUUGCAGAAUUCAGUGAAUCAUCGAAUCUUUGAACGCACAUUGCGCCCGCUAGUAUUCUGGCGGGCAUGCCUGUUCGAGCGUCAUUUCAACCCUUAAGCCCUGUUGCUUAGUGUUGGGAGCCUACUGCCCUGUAGCUCCCCAAAGUUAUUGGCGGAGUCGGUCACACACUCUGGAUGUAGUAAUUUUUUCUCGUCUAUAGUUGGGCCGGUCCCCUGCCGUAAAACCCCCCAUCUCAAAGGUUGACCUCGGAUCAGGUAGGAAUACCCGCUGAACUUAA
Molecule: unclassified non-coding RNA, 299 nt
Filed under: uncultured Xylariales
Lineage: Eukaryota; Fungi; Ascomycota; Sordariomycetes; Xylariales
Description: sequence contains ITS1
Rfam family: 5.8S ribosomal RNA (bases 1-105)
Source: RNAcentral